This is a long non-coding RNA of Varanus komodoensis (Komodo dragon), 618 nucleotides long. RefSeq lists it as uncharacterized. The record is from RefSeq and is a predicted model, not a curated record. The transcript has 2 exons. NCBI's taxonomy places the organism in Eukaryota, Metazoa, Chordata, Lepidosauria, Squamata, Varanidae.
AAUGGUGGGAACUCUGUGCUUGUAGUCACACUCACUGGUAGGCAACAUGCUAAGAACCUGGGCAGAGAUAUAUUCAUGGAGCAUGAGCAGGAUAGCCCUGACUCAAGCCUGAGACCUUGAAGAGCUGCUUCCAGUCAUGUGACAGAGACACAGAAACCUUGAUCAAGAAUAUGGCUCAGCUAGAGAUCUCUGUGUCAUGGCCAGUGUUCUCCUGGGCACACGCUUCUCCUUAUACAGCUGAUGGUGAUUCUUCGGACACUAUCUCAGCAACAGCUGUUUUUAGAAUGCAGAACCUCAAGCCUAGGGGGACAAACCUAGCCUGUCUGGAGUUCCAAAAAGGCUAGGCCACCCCCUGUGGCACCACUUCCUUUCUUCCAACCAAACAUCAAUCUUUUUGGUGGACUUUAACCUUUUGUGCAUUUUUCUUUCCAUUAUAAAUGAUCUAAAUGCUAGUCAUAAGACUUAGUGGCAAAAAGAGCUUUAAAGUAAAAUGUACUGGUAUUUUUGGCCUCACACACUACUACAAUCCAGCCCCCAAGAACUUUUCUGACAUUGCAUUCACCCCUUGGGUUAAAGGAGACUCUGCACCUGAUGUAAAGAAUACUAAGAAUAGAUGAA